Molecule: ribosomal RNA, 442 nt
Filed under: uncultured bacterium
Lineage: Bacteria
Description: bacterial SSU rRNA
Rfam family: Bacterial small subunit ribosomal RNA
Source: RNAcentral
AGAGUUUGAUCAUGGCUCAGAUUGAACGCUGGCGGCAGGCUUAACACAUGCAAGUCGAGCGGUAGCACAGAGAGCUUGCUCUCGGGUGACAAGCGGCGGACGGGUGAGUAACGCGUAGGAAUCUACCUAGUAGUGGGGGACAACAGUUGGAAACGACUGCUAAUACCGCAUACGCCCUAAGGGGGAAAGCGGGGGAUCUUCGGACCUCGUGCUAUUAGAUGAGCCUGCGUGAGAUUAGCUAGUUGGUGAGGUAAAGGCUCACCAAGGCGACGAUCUCUAGCUGGUCUGAGAGGAUGAUCAGCCACACUGGGACUGAGACACGGCCCAGACUCCUACGGGAGGCAGCAGUGGGGAAUAUUGGACAAUGGGCGCAAGCCUGAUCCAGCCAUGCCGCGUGUGUGAAGAAGGCCUUCGGGUUGUAAAGCACUUUCAGAAGGGAGGA